Molecule: unclassified non-coding RNA, 266 nt
Filed under: Hevea brasiliensis (rubber tree)
Lineage: Eukaryota; Viridiplantae; Streptophyta; Magnoliopsida; Malpighiales; Euphorbiaceae
Source: RNAcentral
GAAGAAAAAAAAAAAAAAGAACUGAUCAAAAUAUGGUGCAAGAUAAGCUGUCCACGAAUUUUGUCAGUGCCAAAUAGAUGUCAUUCUGGGGCACUGCCAACAUUGCUGAUAGAAGUAACAUAGGCGGGGAACCAUCCAGAAAGAUGAGCACUCCCGCGUACUUCAACAUUGCAGUGACAAAGGUUCAUCCCACUUAUAAUUCUUUAUGUGUGCAGUAAUUUAAUGAACUGACUAACCAAUUCAACAACCAGCCUUGGCAGAAGAAA